AAUGAACGCUGGCGGCAGGCCUAACACAUGCAAGUCGAACGAAGCCUUCGGGUUUAGUGGCGGACGGGUGAGUAACGCGUGGGAACAUGCCCAAAGGUACGGAAUAGCCCUGGGAAACUGGGAGUAAUACCGUAUGUGCCCUUCGGGGGAAAGAUUUAUCGCCUUUGGAUUGGCCCGCGUUGGAUUAGGUAGUUGGUGGGGUAAUGGCCUGCCAAGCCGACGAUCCAUAGCUGGUUUGAGAGGAUGAUCAGCCACACUGGGACUGAGACACGGCCCAGACUCCUACGGGAGGCAGCAGUGGGGAAUCUUAGACAAUGGGGGAAACCCUGAUCUAGCCAUGCCGCGUGAUCGAUGAAGGCCUUAGGGUUGUAAAAGAUCUUUCAGAUGGGAAGAUAAUGACGGUACCAUCAGAAGAAGCCCCCGGCUAACUCCGUGCCAGCAGCCGCGGU
This 449-nucleotide ribosomal RNA is filed under the name uncultured bacterium. Its description in RNAcentral is "bacterial SSU rRNA". It matches the Rfam family "Bacterial small subunit ribosomal RNA", at positions 29 to 521 of the family's 1533-position model. The record is from RNAcentral.